UGAUUCCCCUAGUAACGGCGAGUGAAGAGGGAAAAGCUCAAAGUUGGAACCUGGCUGCCCUAGGCAGUCCGGAUUGUAAACUAAAGAGCGUGAUUCCAGGCAAGCCGGUUGAUCAAGUCCUUUGGAAUGAGGCGCCACUGAGGGUGAGAGCCCCGUAAGUCGACUGAGCAUUUGUCUUUUGUGUUUCGCGUUCAAAGAGUCAGGUUGUUUGGGAAUGCAGCCUAAAGCUGGUGGUAAAUCCCACCUAAAGCUAAAUACAGGCGAGAGACCGAUAGCGAACAAGUACCGUGAGGGAAAGAUGAAAAGAACUUUGAAAAGAGAGUUAAACAGUAUGUGAAAUUGCCAAGAGGGAAGCAUUUGGAGUUAGAUUGACUAGGAGUUAAUCAGCUUGGUCUUUGGACUGGGUGUACUUGACUUCUAUUGGUCUGCCAAUAGCAGUUAGUCCUAGUGGAAAAAACCAGAGGGAAGGUAGUCCUUCGGGAUGUUUAUAGACCUUUGGAAAAUACACUGGGAUUGACUGAGGAAUGCAGUAGAUGCCACUAAGGCUUCGUCUAGUGGGUGCUAGGCAAAGGUACUUGGUAUUUUCAGCUUGCUGAUGUGCUAGGUUACUCGAGUCUAGUCGCCUACUAGAACUGUAAUC
This 640-nucleotide ribosomal RNA is filed under the name Lichtheimia ramosa. RNAcentral's name for it is "eukaryotic LSU rRNA". It matches the Rfam family "Eukaryotic large subunit ribosomal RNA", at positions 72 to 614 of the family's 3401-position model. Lineage: Eukaryota; Fungi; Mucoromycota; Mucoromycetes; Mucorales; Lichtheimiaceae. The record is from RNAcentral.